AAACUUUCAACAACGGAUCUCUUGGUUCUGGCAUCGAUGAAGAACGCAGCGAAAUGCGAUAAGUAGUGUGAAUUGCAGAAUUCAGUGAAUCAUCGAAUCUUUGAACGCACAUUGCGCCCCUUGGUAUCCCCGAGGG
Molecule: ribosomal RNA, 136 nt
Filed under: uncultured Cenococcum
Lineage: Eukaryota; Fungi; Ascomycota; Dothideomycetes; Gloniales; Gloniaceae
Description: partial 5.8S ribosomal RNA
Rfam family: 5.8S ribosomal RNA
About the family: 5.8S ribosomal RNA (5.8S rRNA) is a component of the large subunit of the eukaryotic ribosome. It is transcribed by RNA polymerase I as part of the 45S precursor that also contains 18S and 28S rRNA.
Source: RNAcentral